GUUAUAUGGUCAAGCGAAUAAGCGCACACGGUGGAUGCCUAGGCGGUCAGAGGCGAUGAAGGACGUGGUAGCCUGCGAAAAGUGUCGGGGAGCUGGCAACAAGCUUUGAUCCGGCAAUAUCCGAAUGGGGAAACCCACUGCUUCGGCAGUAUCCUGCAGUGAAUUCAUAGCUGCUGGAAGCGAACCCGGUGAACUGAAAUAUCUAAGUAACCGGAGGAAAAGAAAUCAACCGAGAUUCCCUAAGUAGUGACGAGCGAACGGGGAGCAGCCCUUAAGCUGGAAUGGCUUUAGAAAAACAAUCUGGAAAGAUUGGCCAUAGAAGGUGAUAGCCCUGUAUUUAAAAGGGCCACUCCAGUGAAGACGAGUAGGGCGGGGCACGUGAAACCCUGUCUGAAUAUGGGGGGACCAUCCUCCAAGGCUAAAUACUCCUGACCGACCGAUAGUGAACCAGUACCGUGAGGGAAAGGCGAAAAGAACCCCGGAGAGGGGAGUGAAAUAGAUCCUGAAACCGUGUGCGUACAAGCAGUAGGAGCUCGCAAGAGUGACUGCGUACCUUUUGUAUAAUGGGUCAGCGACUUACUGUUCGUGGCAAGCUUAACCGUAUAGGGGAGGGCGAAGGGAAACCGAGUCUGAUAAGGGCGCAUAGUCGCGGGCAGUAGACCCGAAACCGGGUGAUCUAGUCAUGGCCAGGGUGAAGGUGCCGUAACAGGUACUGGAGGCCCGAACCCACGUCUGUUGCAAAAGACGGGGAUGAGCUGUGAUUAGGAGUGAAAAGCUAAUCGAACCCGGAGAUAGCUGGUUCUCCUCGAAAGCUAUUUAGGUAGCGCCUCAUAUGUAUCCUCUCGGGGGUAGAGCACUGUUAUGGCUAGGGGGUCAUCGCGACUUACCAAACCAUUGCAAACUCCGAAUACCGAGACGGACUGUAUGGGAGACACACGGCGGGUGCUAACGUCCGUCGUGAAAAGGGAAACAACCCAGACCCACAGCUAAGGUCCCAAAUUCACUGCUAAGUGGAAAACGAUGUGGAAAGGCAUAGACAGCCAGGAGGUUGGCUUAGAAGCAGCCACCCUUUAAAGAAAGCGUAAUAGCUCACUGGUCGAGUCGGUCUGCGCGGAAGAUUUAACGGGGCUAAGCAGUGAACCGAAGCUUGGGGUGCAUAAAACUUGUUUUAUGCGCGGUAGAGGAGCGUUCCGUAAGCCUGCGAAGGUGGAUUGAGAAGUCUGCUGGAGGUAUCGGAAGUGCGAAUGCUGACAUGAGUAACGAUAAUGCGGGUGAAAAGCCCGCACGCCGAAAGCCCAAGGUUUCCUUGCGCAACGUUAAUCGACGCAGGGUUAGUCGGUCCCUAAGGCGAGGGCGAAAGCCGUAGUCGAUGGGAAGCAGGUUAAUAUUCCUGCACCUCGCGUGAGUGCGAUGGAGGGACGGAGAAGGUUAGGUGUACCGGGCGUUGGUUGUCCCGGGGAAAGGCGGUAGGUUUGGAUCUUUGGCAAAUCCGGGAUCCUUUAAGACCGAGCACCGAGACGAGCCUUUAUGGCGAAGUCACUGAUACCACGCUUCCAGGAAAAGCUCCUAAGCUUCAGCUCACGAAGACCGUACCGUAAACCGACACAGGUGGGUAGGAUGAGAAUUCUCAGGCGCUUGAGAGAACUCGGGUGAAGGAACUAGGCAACAUGGCACCGUAACUUCGGGAGAAGGUGCACCCUUUUUGGUGGCUCGUGCGAGCUAUAGCUGAAGAGGGUCGCAGAAACCAGGCCGCUGCGACUGUUUAUCAAAAACACAGCACUCUGCAAACACGAAAGUGGACGUAUAGGGUGUGACGCCUGCCCGGUGCUGGAAGGUUAAUUGAUGGGGUCAGCCGCAAGGCGAAGCUCUUGAUCGAAGCCCCAGUAAACGGCGGCCGUAACUAUAACGGUCCUAAGGUAGCGAAAUUCCUUGUCGCGGUAAGUUCCGACCUGCACGAAUGGCGUAACGACAGCGGCGCUGUCUCCACCCGAGACUCAGUGAAAUUGAAAUCGCUGUGAAGAUGCAGCGUUCCCGUGGCAAGACGGAAAGACCCCGUGAACCUUUACUAUAGCUUUACACUGAACGUUGAGUUCGUCUGUGUAGGAUAGGUGGGAGGCUAUGAAACUGUGGCGCUAGCUGCAGUGGAGCCAUCCUUGAAAUACCACCCUGUCGUGCUUGACGUUCUAACCUAGGUCCGUUAUCCGGAUCAGGGACCGUGUAUGGUGGGUAGUUUGACUGGGGCGGUCUCCUCCUAAAGAGUAACGGAGGAGCACGAAGGUACGCUCAGCGCGGUCGGACAUCGCGCACUGUGUGCAAAGGCAUAAGCGUGCUUGACUGCAAGAUCGACGGAUCAAGCAGGUACGAAAGUAGGUCUUAGUGAUCCGGUGGUUCUGUAUGGAAGGCCAUCGCUCAACGGAUAAAAGGUACUCCGGGGAUAACAGGCUGAUACCGCCCAAGAGUUCAUAUCGACGGCGGUGUUUGGCACCUCGAUGUCGGCUCAUCACAUCCUGGGGCUGUAGUCGGUCCCAAGGGUAUGGCUGUUCGCCAUUUAAAGUGGUACGCGAGCUGGGUUCAGAACGUCGUGAGACAGUUCGGUCCCUAUCUGCCAUGGGCGUUGGAAGUUUGAGAGGGGCUGCUCCUAGUACGAGAGGACCGGAGUGGACGAACCUCUGGUGUUCCGGUUGUCACGCCAGUGGCAUUGCCGGGUAGCUAUGUUCGGAAGCGAUAACCGCUGAAAGCAUCUAAGCGGGAAGCGCGCCUCAAGAUGAGACUUCCCGGGGCACAAGCCCCUUAAAGGAACCAUGUAGACUACGUGGUUGAUAGGUCAGGUGUGUAAGUACAGCAAUGUAUUGAGCUAACUGAUACUAAUGAUCCGUGCGGCUUGACCAUAUAACCUCA
This is a ribosomal RNA of 2898 nucleotides. It matches the Rfam family "Bacterial large subunit ribosomal RNA".